AUAUCAGUCAUGCAUAGCAUAUCAAUAAGCGGAGGAAAAGAAACUAACAAGGAUUCCCCUAGUAACGGCGAGUGAAGCGGGAAGAGCUCAAAUUUGAAAUCUUAAAGGGUUUCCCUUUACGAAUUGUAGUUUAAAGAAGUGUUUUCUGUUGAGGUUUUGGUAAAAGUUCUUUGGAAUAGGACAUCAUAGAGGGUGAGAAUCCCGUAUUUGACCUUUACUUUCAACUUUGUGAUACACUUUCAAAGAGUCGGAUUGUUUGGGAAUGCAGUCCAAAAUGGGUGGUAAAUUUCAUCUAAAGCUAAAUAUUGGCGAGAGACCGAUAGCGAACAAGUACCGUGAGGGAAAGAUGAAAAGAACUUUGAAAAGAGAGUUAAACAGUACGUGAAAUUGUCAAAAGGGAAGCGUUUGACACCAGUGUUGUUUUUCCGAAAAUCAAUUAGAGAACUGUUUAUGCUAAGUUGUUUAGACUUUAUCAGCUAACUGUUUAGUUUUGAGCUUUUCUUUAAUGCACUUUUCAGUUAACAAGUCAACAUCAAUUUCUUUUGCUGUAAAAAAGCUUGAGGAAGGUGGCUUGAGAUUCGUCUUAAGUGUUUAUAGCCUCUUGCCUAUGCAGUCGGAGAGAUUGAGGUCUGCAGCGUAGAUCCUUCGGGGCUAAAUGCAUUUGUGCUAAGUUAUAGCAUUUUAUAGACAACUUGUUGACUAUGAUUUGUCUUGUAGCUUACUCGCUUAUGUUAUUUUACCUACGCUUAGGAUGUUGACGCGCGUGUGUGCGUG
This 774-nucleotide ribosomal RNA is filed under the name uncultured Neocallimastigales. Its description in RNAcentral is "partial large subunit ribosomal RNA". It matches the Rfam family "Eukaryotic large subunit ribosomal RNA", at positions 22 to 639 of the family's 3401-position model. Lineage: Eukaryota; Fungi; Neocallimastigomycota; Neocallimastigomycetes; Neocallimastigales. The record is from RNAcentral.